This 327-nucleotide ribosomal RNA is filed under the name uncultured eukaryote. RNAcentral describes it as "partial 18S ribosomal RNA". It matches the Rfam family "Eukaryotic small subunit ribosomal RNA", at positions 1470 to 1796 of the family's 1831-position model. The record is from RNAcentral.
CCCUUAGAUGUUCUGGGCCACACGCGCGUUACACUGAUGAAGCCAGCGGGUAUAUCGCCUUCACCGGAAGGUGCGGGUAAUCUUGUGAAACUUCAUCGUGCUGGGGAUAGACCAUUGCAAUUAUUGGUCUUGAACGAGGAAUUCCUAGUAAGCAUGAGUCAUCAACUCGUGCUGAUUACGUCCCUGCCCUUUGUACACACCGCCCGUCGCUACUACCGAUUGAAUGGUUUAGUGAGAUCUCGGGAUUGGAGACGUUGCGCCGCAAGGCACAUCGUCCUCGAGAACUUGAUCAAACUUGAUCAUUUAGAGGAAGUAAAAGUCGUAACA